RNAcentral lists this ribosomal RNA (1713 nucleotides) under Triticum aestivum (bread wheat). Its description in RNAcentral is "partial small subunit ribosomal RNA". The record is from RNAcentral. Lineage: Eukaryota; Viridiplantae; Streptophyta; Magnoliopsida; Poales; Poaceae.
AUGAAAGGAAAGACUGUUGAAGCAGGACCAUCCGUUCGCCAGCAGUCCAAGGACAAGGGAAAGAAAGUGGUGUUGGAGAAAUUCGAGUUUCCGCUACUUGUUUACAAGGGAAAAGAGGAGAUGGUGGAGACACCCAACUCCAAGCUACCUGGGAAAAGAGGCGGCGUUGCGGUCAUAUUGCCGUCAGCCUCGUCUUCAACAGGAAGGCCCACCAACGCUCGGAAUAUACUUCAAGCCGAUGCUCUUGAGUUUGUCCCCUCACUGGCCCAUAAACCUAGUGAGGAAUGCUUAGGAAUAAUGAAAAAACGUUCCCUGGAAUGGAAGGGAGUGUGACUUACACCUGGUGACCUCAAAACAGGCCACAUAGAUCCAACAUCUGCACCAUCAGUUCCUCUGUUUGAAGAAGCACCCAUCUUACGAGAGUCCUUUGAAGGUUCGUUUGAUCCAAUGUGACAUGAAUGGCGACAGAGAAAUGUCCGUCGAUCUUGGAUUGAUCUUCCAGCUGUCGUAGAUCAAGAUGCGGCGAGCCGACACCGUUCUCAUGUGAGCAUGUCUGUCAAGGGGAGAUGGAAAAACACUCGUCCAAAGAUCCAAGUUCAGAAUCCAGAUGAAUCAUAUGUUGAGCUUCCCGGUGCAUCCACAUCACAAAAUGAUGAGGGUGGUGCCAUCAUGCGACUGGCGGAGGCCCUGGCCCAACGACCUGAGUACCAAGAGUACAUUCAGCAGCAUCCUAAACACCAAGAGUAUGUGAACCAAGCUGCUCGUGUCCGUUCAAGAAGGGCGAUGUACAAAGAAAGAGAAAGGGCAGUACGGGCAAGGUCUGGGUCGAGCAGAGUCCAAGGGGCAGAACACAUUCCAUCGGAUGAGGACAGUCGGGCUAAAACCAAGAAUAAAUCAUUCGAGGUGUUCCAAGCAAUGCCAGUUGGUGUCAGGGCGGCGUCAGACAAGACCAGCGAAACAUCCUCCACAUCAAUACAUUUCAAGAGGAAGAAGGCACGCAAAACUAUCGUAGAAGGUCCUCGUCGUAAGACACGAAGCCAAAAGGGUUCAGAUUAUGAAGAACUUGGGUCCAGCUGUGGUGGGUCUUAUAAUCCCCUAUCAGACAGUACCCCUUGUCCUUCUGAAAAUGAGAUAGAACUCCGCCAUAGUGCAGAGCAUACAAACCAAGUCCUAGCCGCGAAUGAAACUCGUUCGGUUGAAGAGCAAUUAGCCAACCUUAUGGCAGCACUUCAGCAAAAGGAAGACGAGCUUGCAGCCCUUCGAGUUCAAAUGAACAACAACCAAAACAAAGGAAAUGAAGGGGAUGGUGGCGCAAGUGCUAGCAGCCAACAUGGAGGAGCAGGGCUUAACCUUGAGGCGAUCCAAAGAAUGAUCGCUAAAGGGGUAAAGUCGCAGUUGAUGCAAACUCAGUACUCGAUGCGGCCAGGGUAUGUUAAGCCGUACCCACCUGAUGUGGACCUAGUUCCUUUCCCAACAAAUUACAGGCAACCGCAGUUUAGUAAGUUCAACAGGAGUGGAUCUCCCCAUGAGCACAUAGCACACUUCCUUGCUGCUUGUCAGGAUACAGCUAACAACGGAGCACUUCUCCUUAGGCAGUUUGUACAGACAUUGUCCGGGCCUGCCUUCACUUGGUACAGCAAACUACCUCCAAGCUCCAUAGAAACGUGGGAACAAAUGCAAAACUCAUUCCUCGAGCAGUUUUAUAGCACAUAG